GAGGGUGUACUAGCAGCAGUACGAGGAGGAGUAGCAAGAGGAGAAGGAGUAGCAGCAACAGGAGCAGGAGUAACAGAAGGUGUACUAGCAGCAGUACUAGGAGGAGUAGCAAGAGGAGAAGGAGUAGCAGCAACAGGAGCAGGAGUAACAGAAGGUGAACUAGCAGCAGUACUAGGAGGAGUAGCAGGAGGAGGAUCAGCAGGAGGAGGAGCAGCAGGAGGAGGAGCAGAAGGAGCAACAGAAGGUGUACUAGCAGCAGUACUAGGAGUAGCAGGAGAAGGAGCAGCAGGAGAAGGAGUAGCAGCAACAGGAGCAGGAGUAACAGAAGGUGAACUAGCAGCAGUACUAGGAGGAGUAGCAGGAGAAGGAGGAGCAGAAAUAGGAGCAGGAGUAACAGACGGUGUACUAGCAGCAGUACUAGGAGGAGUAGCAGGAGGAGCAGCAACAGGAGUAUUGGUACUGGCUUUGGGAAUACCAGCAGGAAGAGCAGGAGCAGGUGUAGCAGCAGUUGCAGGAGUAGCAUUUGCAGAGAUUUUUCAAAAACUUACGCCGAAAUCUACAAAAGACUCAACACAUAGAUUGACGUUGUGGGGAUCCAUUUCUCUCCGGAGUCGGUUGGAUAGAAGAUCCUACAGCCACUGUCAAUUUGAAGGCAAACUGACAUAAUGCUUAGAUUUGUCCCCUGCAGUAAUCCUUGGCUAUUGCAGUGUUCCAUUAAAAAAAAGAGCAUCUGUGCCAUUAUUUCAACUUCUAACAACAAUAAUAUUUUGUCAUUUUGGAUUAUAUUGAUUGAGACAGUUUUAUAUCUUGUGUCAUUGCUGUUCUGCAAAAUAAAAA
Molecule: long non-coding RNA, 837 nt
Organism: Oncorhynchus tshawytscha (Chinook salmon)
Lineage: Eukaryota; Metazoa; Chordata; Actinopteri; Salmoniformes; Salmonidae
Source: Ensembl